Molecule: ribosomal RNA, 450 nt
Filed under: uncultured bacterium
Lineage: Bacteria
Description: partial 16S ribosomal RNA
Rfam family: Bacterial small subunit ribosomal RNA
Source: RNAcentral
GUGGGGAAUUUUGGACAAUGGGCGCAAGCCUGAUCCAGCAAUGCCGCGUGCAGGAAGAAGGCCUUCGGGUUGUAAACUGCUUUUGUACGGAACGAAACGGUCCUGGCUAAUAUCCGGGGCUAAUGACGGUACCGUAAGAAUAAGCACCGGCUAACUACGUGCCAGCAGCCGCGGUAAUACGUAGGGUGCGAGCGUUAAUCGGAAUUACUGGGCGUAAAGCGUGCGCAGGCGGUGAUGUAAGACAGGCGUGAAAUCCCCGGGCUCAACAUGGGAAUUGCGCUUGUGACUGCAGUGCUGGAGUGCGGCAGAGGGGGAUGGAAUUCCGCGUGUAGCAGUGAAAUGCGUAGAUAUGCGGAGGAACACCGAUGGCGAAGGCAAUCCCCUGGGCCUGCACUGACGCUCAUGCACGAAAGCGUGGGGAGCAAACAGGAUUAGAUACCCUAGUAGUCC